AUUUUAUUUUGUUGAACUAGAACACAGAUGAUAAGUUACUCUCGAACGGACGUGCGCCUAUCCCUAUCUAUUUAUGUGACUGGUGGUCGAUGGAUCACAUUACACCAGAGCAAUCCUUGUUGUUUAACAUGCCAUAACAGUAAUUGGUUGAUGACAGUGUGCAGCUUGAAUGACUUGCCCUAGCUGGAGGGGACAUAUUGGAAGAUGCCGCGGCAAAUAAUGUGUUGCCAGCUUCUCCGAGUCCUCAUAGUCCUAACAUAUGGUAUACUACGUACGUAUUUCGCGUUAGACGAAGUUAUGCAAUGCCUGUGAGAAGGUGGUCUGCACCAUUCCAU
Molecule: long non-coding RNA, 335 nt
Filed under: Oryza brachyantha (malo sina)
Lineage: Eukaryota; Viridiplantae; Streptophyta; Magnoliopsida; Poales; Poaceae
Description: long non-coding RNA (OBRA_LNC001654)
Source: RNAcentral